GUCAAGCGAUGAAGCGCAUACGGUGGAUGCCUAGGCAGUCAGAGGCGAUGAAAGACGUGGAAGCCUGCGAUAAGGUUCGGCGAGGUGGCAAACGACCUGCGACCCGGACAUCUCUGAAUGGGGAAACCCACCCAAGGUAACUUGGGUAUCUCAUGUUGAAUAUAUAGACAUGAGAGGCGAACCGGGGGAACUGAAACAUCUAAGUACCCCGAGGAAAAGAAAUCAACCGAGAUUCCCCUAGUAGCGGCGAGCGAACGGGGACCAGCCCUUAAGCAACACAACUGGUAGGUGAACAGAUUGGGAAAUCUGGCCAUAGUGGGUGAUAGCCCCGUAACCGAAACCUGAGUGUUGUGAAAUCGAGUAGGUCGAGGCACGUGAAACCUUGACUGAAGACGGGGGGACCAUCCUCCAAGGCUAAAUACUCCUGACUGACCGAUAGUGAACCAGUACCGUGAGGGAAAGGCGAAAAGAACCCCGGAGAGGGGAGUGAAAUAGAUCCUGAAACCGUAUGCGUACAAGCAGUGGGAGCCAACUUGUUUGGUGACCGCGUACCUUUUGUAUAAUGGGUCAGCGACUUAUUUUCAGUGGCGAGCUUAACCGUAUAGGGGAGGCGUAGAGAAAUCGAGUCUUAACUGGGCGACCAGUCGCUGGAAAUAGACCCGAAACCGGGCGAUCUAUCCAUGAGCAGGUUGAAGGUUGAGUAACAUCAACUGGAGGACCGAACCAGGAUCUGUUGAAAAAGAUUUGGAUGACUUGUGGAUCGGAGUGAAAGGCUAAUCAAGCCCGGAGAUAGCUGGUUCUCCUCGAAAGCUAUUUAGGUAGCGCCUCACGUAUCACCGCCGGGGGUAGAGCACUGUUUCGGCUAGGGGGUCAUCCCGACUUACCAACCCGAGGCAAACUCCGAAUACCGGUGAGUGCAAGCGUGGGAGACACACAGCGGGUGCUAACGUCCGUUGUGAAAAGGGAAACAACCCAGACCGUCAGCUAAGGUCCCGAAAUCCUGGUUAAGUGGGAAACGAUGUGGGAAGGCUUAGACAGCUAGGAGGUUGGCUUAGAAGCAGCCAUCCUUUAAAGAAAGCGUAAUAGCUCACUAGUCGAGUCGGCCUGCGCGGAAGAUGUAACGGGGCUCAAACCAGGUACCGAAGCUACGGGUUCGCCGAAUGGCGAGCGGUAGAGGAGCGUCGUGUAAGCCGAUGAAGGUGUGUUGAGAAGCAUGCUGGAGGUAUCACGAGUGCGAAUGCUGACAUGAGUAACGACAAGGGGAGUGAAAAACUCCCCCGCCGGAAGACCAAGGGUUUCUGUUCGACGCUAAUCGGAGCAGAGUGAGUCGGCCCCUAAGGCGAGGCCGAAAGGCGUAGUCGAUGGGAAACGGGUCAAUAUUCCCGUACCUCACAGUAUUGCGAUGGGGGGACGAAGAAGGCUAGGUGAGCCAGGCGUUGGUUGUCCUGGUGAAAGCCGGUAGGCUGAGGAUUCAGGUAAAUCCGGAUCCUUAAGGCCGAGAGGCGAGACGAACUGACUACGGUCAGGAAGUCAUCGAUGCCACGCUUCCAGGAAAAGCCUCUAAGCUUCAGAUACUGUGAGACCGUACCCCAAACCGACACAGGUGGUCAGGUAGAGAAUACCAAGGCGCUUGAGAGAACUCGGGUGAAGGAACUCGGCAAAAUUGUACCGUAACUUCGGGAGAAGGUACGCUGCUGCUGGUGAUGGGACUUGCUCCCUAAGCUGACGGCAGUCGAAGUGACCAGUUGGCUGCGACUGUUUAUUAAAAACAUAGCACUCUGCAAACACGAAAGUGGACGUAUAGGGUGUGACGCCUGCCCGGUGCCGGAAGGUUAAGUGAUGGUGUUAGCUCACGCGAAGCUCCUGAUCGAAGCCCCGGUAAACGGCGGCCGUAACGAUAACGGUCCUAAGGUAGCGAAAUUCCUUGUCGGGUAAGUUCCGACCCGCACGAAAGGUGUAACGAUCUGCGUACUGUCUCGGAGAGAGACUCGGCGAAAUAGACUUGUCUGUGAAGAUGCGGACUACCUGCACCUGGACAAAAAGACCCUAUGAAGCUUUACUGUAGCUUGAGAUUGGCUCCGGGCUUUAUUUGCGCAGGAUAGGUGGGAGGCGUUGAAAAUUUCCUUGCGGGGGAAUUUGAGCCAUUGGUGAGAUACCACUCUAAUAAAGCUAGGAUUCUAACCCUAUACCGUUAUCCGGUUAGGGAACAGUCUCAGGUGGUCAGUUUGACUGGGGCGGUCGCCUCCUAAAAGGUAACGGAGGCGUGCAAAGGUUUCCUCAGACUGGUCGGAAAUCAGUCGAAGAGUGUAAAGGCAUAAGGAAGCUUGAUUGUGAGACCUACAAGUCGAACAAAGACGAAAGUCGGCCUUAGUGAUCCGGCGGUACCAAGUGGAAGGGCCGUCGCUCAACGGAUAAAAGUUACUCUAGGGAUAACAGGCUGAUCUCCCCCAAGAGUUCAUAUCGACGGGGAGGUUUGGCACCUCGAUGUCGGCUCGUCGCAUCCUGGGGCGGUAGUACGUCCCAAGGGUUGGGCUGUUCGCCCAUGAAAGCGGCACGCGAGCUGGGUUCAGAACGUCGUGAGACAGUUCGGUCUCUAUCUACUGUGGGCGUUAGAAAUUUGAGUGGAUCUGACUCUAGUACGAGAGGACCGAGUUGGACGAACCUCUGGUGUACCAGUUGUUCCGCCAGGAGCAUUGCUGGGUAGCUACGUUCGGAAGGGAUAAGCGCUGAAAGCAUAUAAGCGCGAAACCCACCACAAGAUGAGAUUUCUUU
RNAcentral lists this ribosomal RNA (2772 nucleotides) under Emiliania huxleyi. RNAcentral describes it as "partial Bacterial large subunit ribosomal RNA". It matches the Rfam family "Bacterial large subunit ribosomal RNA". Lineage: Eukaryota; Haptophyta; Isochrysidales; Noelaerhabdaceae. The record is from RNAcentral.